AGUAAUGAUACAGCCACAAACUCUUGUACAAAUUUAUUUUGUACAAACUGACGUGUCAUUAAUUCAUUGGUUGAAUGAAAAUAUAAAAUAAUAAAAAUAAACUAUGUGGGUCAAGUGAUAUUUAAUUCAAUCAAUCUUAUCGUGCCACAUCAGUUUGUACAAAAUAAGUUUGUACAAGAGUUUGUGGCUAUAUCAUUACUC
Molecule: long non-coding RNA, 201 nt
Filed under: Citrus maxima (pomelo)
Lineage: Eukaryota; Viridiplantae; Streptophyta; Magnoliopsida; Sapindales; Rutaceae
Description: long non-coding RNA (CMAX_LNC000276)
Source: RNAcentral